RNAcentral lists this ribosomal RNA (439 nucleotides) under uncultured bacterium. Its description in RNAcentral is "bacterial SSU rRNA". It matches the Rfam family "Bacterial small subunit ribosomal RNA", at positions 958 to 1398 of the family's 1533-position model. The record is from RNAcentral.
AACGCGAAGAACCUUACCUGGGCUUGACAUCCCAUGAAAAGCGCAGAGAUGCGUAAUAGUCGCAAGACACAUGGAGACAGGUGCUGCAUGGCUGUCGUCAGCUCGUGUCGUGAGAUGUUGGGUUAAGUCCCGCAACGAGCGCAACCCUUUCCCUUAUUUGCCAGCAUUAAGUUGGGCACUCUAGGGGUACUGCCAAUGAUAAAUUGGAGGAAGGUGGGGACGAGGUCAAGUCAUCAUGGCUCUUACGUCCAGGGCAACACACGUACUACAAUGGCCAAGACAAAGCGAUGCAAGAUCGAAAGAUGGAGCCAAUCGCAAAAAACAUGGUCUCAGUUCGGAUUGUGGUCUGCAACUCGACCACAUGAAGUUGGAAUCUCUAGUAAUCGCAGAUCAGCAGGCUGCGGUGAAUACGUUCCCGGGCUUGUACACACCGCUAGUC